This 468-nucleotide ribosomal RNA is filed under the name uncultured bacterium. Its description in RNAcentral is "partial 16S ribosomal RNA". It matches the Rfam family "Bacterial small subunit ribosomal RNA", at positions 28 to 507 of the family's 1533-position model. The record is from RNAcentral.
GACGAACGCUGGCGGCGUGCCUAACACAUGCAAGUCGAACGGAAAGGCCCUGCUUUUGUGGGGUGCUCGAGUGGCGAACGGGUGAGUAACACGUGAGUAAACCGCCCCUGACUUUGGGAUAACUUUAGGGAACUGGGGCUAAUACCCGAUAGGAGCUCCUGCUGCAUGGUGGGGGUUGGAAAGUUUCGGCGGGUGGGGCUGGUCUCGCGGGUUAUCCGCUGGUUGGUGGGGUAGGGGCUUACCAAGGCUUUGACGGGGAGCCGGCCUGAGAGGGUGACCGGGCACAUUGGGACUGAGAUACGGCCCAGACUCCUACGGGAGGCAGCAGUGGGGAAUAUUGCGCAAUGGGCGGAAGCCUGAUGCAGCAACGCCGCGUGCGGGAUGACGGCCUUCGGGUUGUAAACCGCUUUCGCCUGUGACGAAGCGUGAGUGACGGUAAUGGGUAAAGAAGCACCGGCUAACUACGUG